Long non-coding RNA from Nematostella vectensis (starlet sea anemone), 2379 nucleotides. RefSeq lists it as uncharacterized. The record is from RefSeq and is a predicted model, not a curated record. Lineage: Eukaryota; Metazoa; Cnidaria; Anthozoa; Actiniaria; Edwardsiidae. The transcript has 3 exons.
GGUGAAAUAUGGAAUAAGAAUGACAAACAUCGUGUAGUAUAAAGAUUUUUUGCACAAAUGCGGAUCAAAACAAGGUUUGAUCAAAAUUAUCAUCACAAUGCCAAGGGAAUGGAGAAUGGAUUAAGCAUUUAGCAAAACAAGUAUUUGUUUUCCUUUUUCAAGUCACAGAAGAAACAUUUAAUGCUUCCCUUGGAAAUAAUUGGCAAGCCUUUGGUUAAACAUAUCCUAGUUGCCCUUAGUUAUUAAGUUAUUAGAAAAGGAACAUGACUUGCAAGAUGCGAUUUGCGUUGAAGUAAGAUACACAAGAUAACACACAAACAACCUACUUCGGACCUUCACUUCGUACUCAUUAUAAGAUGCCCAGACUUGUUAUUGAAUAACAAAGACGAUGAUGAAAUCCAUGUUUUUAGGAAUAGCCCAAUUCAUACGCGGACCAAAGUUUGAUUGACUAGCGCUAUUUCCCAAACGACACAAGAAUAUUGGAUUCGCCGAGGUCGCGCAACAACGAAUUUGGCUGUUAAUACUAUUACAGUAUCUAGGUUUUUCUCUGUUGCGUUUAUGCUUACUAGGCUCAUUCCAAACAUCCCUUAAACAGAGCAUUACAAGGAGAUUUGACUAUCAUCUUCAGAGCCGCAAAGAAAAAAACACUUUUUUGUCAGAAAAAAGACGUCAUUCUAUUAUAAAAUACUCUACAUUCUGAUUAUUCUUGGUUUUUUUUCUCAGAGUCAAAUUAGGUUUUCUUAUUUUCCACAAGAUUCUUUGAGUUUUUGUAGCAGAAGAAUUGGAAGAUUAUGUCUGAGCAAACAAAUGCGCCAAUAAGGCAACUUAAAUCAAAAUUAUAUUCCAGCAUAGAUACGAUUAGAUAGAUUUGAAUUUAAGUUUAAUCCUAACUUAGGAUCUUCUGUCUGUCGAGCAAUAGAGUAAAGAUGUUAUAAUAUUCAAUAAACAUUUAAAGUUCAUCCAAAAUAUGAAUUGUUGCUGAUAACCAAAGCAUGACAUGCAGAUUUUUCAAGGAUGAGUUAGUGUUCCGCAUCUUGAUUUUAGUGACUCAGAGCAAGGAGUCAAAUAUGCUCGUUGCCAAGGAACAAGUCCGUUGAUGGAAGGAGGAUUGAAAACUUUUUUUGUCAUUGUAACAAUGGAUUUAUCAAAAGGUAAAUGAUGUUUGCCAACUUGAUGUUUGUGCCUCAUAUAAACACAGUCAUCUACCAUGGUGCGCAAUCAAAAAUUCAUAACGUUCAAGGAAUAUCAAGAUUACCUCCAGUAAGUUGGGAACAUAUUCGAUUUUUUUGGAAAUUGAUGAAGAAUUUGUGGAAAUGAUUGCAGUGUUACCAAAAAAGCUUAAACCGUCAUCUUCAACGUUGCCAAUGUUUCUCCUAAAAGAAGAUGUCGAUAAUGCCAAAUGAAAAUAUGCUGUUAAAUGUCAUUAGCGUAGCUUAUGUCUGUUGGGACUACGAGGAAUCAAGGCCGUCAAAUUAGAAUUUUAGCAUAAAAAUACAUAAGAAAUUCUAUUUCAUUGGUUAUCGUACGGAUUCCUGGCAUCACCUUUCGGUUGUCCAAUGAAAAUCAGUUUCUACCACUGAUGACUUCUACUGCAAGAUUUGGUUUGGAAGUCUUCCUUAGAAAAAUGCUUCCGCAAUCAAAGCAUAUUCAAGACUGGCUGAAGGCACAUUCCUCAAAUGAAGGAACAUAAAACAAUGUUUUGCUUUGUCGUAAAGCAAAAUGAAAGGUCUUAUUAUAAAGGAAGACUCCAUGCCGCUAAGAAAACAGAAGAGAAAUAAAGAAGAAGUGAGCAUAGGAAUUAAUGUCAAGCAGGCUUCGGAAGCAAAUUUCUUGAGAACAUUUGUCACAAACAAUUUUUGAAGACCAUUUUCACUGCCACACUUAAGGGAGCACGGCAGAAUGUAUUCCUUUUUAACGUGCGAUUGAUAUUAUUACGAAAAUAAACGCGUCAUGUUUGUUUGAGCGCGAGCUGGAUGCGAGAGCAAAAAGCAAAAGCUGGGGGAGGGGGCUGGGGGAAAGAAGGCGAUAAACGAACAAAGACCCUGUUGACAAACAUAAUUCACUUCAUAAUGCGAACCCCGGCCCACUCCCCCAACAGCGCAACUGACAAACACACAUGAGGUGUUAAAUAACAAAGUGGUUUAUGUUCGUAAUAAUAUCAAUCGCGCUGUGAAUAGGAACACAUUCUGCCGUUCUCCCUUGCCACACUCAAACGCUAGUGAAAUAUGCUUAGCUUGCUACUUUUACUCUCACCACAGGUAGCCCAAGCUCUGUCAAUGAGUAAUUGGGACCGACAGGCUAUAGAGAGAACACACAUGGAGAUGUUUACUUUAUGCUAGUAUUCUUCCAUAAAAAUGUAAUAAAUUCAAUUCAACGUGA